UACGUAGGGUGCAAGCGUUAAUCGGAAUUACUGGGCGUAAAGGGCGCGUAGGCGGCCACCGCAAGUCGAUUGUGAAAUCUCCGGGCUUAACCCGGAAAGGUCAACCGAUACUGCGGGGCUAGAGUGCAGAAGGGGCAACUGGAAUUCUCGGUGUAGCGGUGAAAUGCGUAGAUAUCGAGAGGAACACCUGCGGCGAAGGCGGGUUGCUGGGCUGACACUGACGCUGAAGUGCGAAAGCUAGGGGAGCGAACGGG
Molecule: ribosomal RNA, 254 nt
Filed under: uncultured bacterium
Lineage: Bacteria
Description: partial 16S ribosomal RNA
Rfam family: Bacterial small subunit ribosomal RNA
Source: RNAcentral